Non-coding RNA from Delphinapterus leucas (beluga whale), 903 nucleotides. NCBI's taxonomy places the organism in Eukaryota, Metazoa, Chordata, Mammalia, Artiodactyla, Monodontidae. The record is from RefSeq and is a predicted model, not a curated record.
CCUGGUUCCUCGGUGGCCAUCCUGAAACCUCGUAACCCAGGAGGCCCGAGGUAGCCGAAUUCCUCCUGUCCGGCACCCUCACCCUCUUUUGCAAAGAAGGAACGUUGCAUUGCUGGGGACUGAAUGUUGGGAGCAACACGAAACUCAGAAGAGCACCAGGGUUUGCAGGAGAAGCCAAGUAAGAAAAGUGACUCAGCAAAAUAAACCAUCACCUGUGGAUAUUCUGAACUGCUAUCUUGGGACGCUGGGUGAUUGCCUGGUUCUGGCGACAGGUGCUUGGUAUACAAAACUUUGUUUCCCACACGCCAGCUGUAAUACUCGUGCUCAUCAGCGUACAGAAGGAAGCCCAGGAGACUUGGGAAGGAGCUGCCAUGGACGGGCCUGAUAGCUGCCUCGCCCCUACGCGGUUCUGAGCCCGGGAGCCACAGAGGUCAAGUCCAGUCCAGUGUCUGCUGGGCAGCCCUUGGGCUGUGUGAUAAGUUAGGACACCCUGCCCACCUGACUUUUCAAGUUCAGGACUUUUCUAGGGGAUUAGAAGGCAGGGUACUCCCCUCAUCUACUUCUAUUACGCUUCUCCUGCUCGAUGGAUGGACCCACCAGAUCCCCACACUGUGCAGGCAAAGCCAGUCCCAGCCAUGAAACGUGACACCUGUGAAGAUUCUGACUGGAGGACUGAUACCCAUUAACCCAGGCCCUUUCAAUACAAUCAGGUAAGAAAGCGCUUCAAGUCUUCUUUUUGCAACAUUACCAGCUUGUUCGUAGUGGCAUAGUGCCGUCACUGAAGUCAUAGUGACUUUAAUAAACGUGUUAAAUGGUUCACCAUAGUGCCCCCAAUCAAAACCCACAUUCCAAAGCGAGGCUUCCUUUGUUUACUAAAUAAUAGCCAGAAAAUUAUUGUCUUGG